This 312-nucleotide long non-coding RNA is filed under the name Elaeis guineensis (African oil palm). RNAcentral's name for it is "long non-coding RNA (EGUI_LNC020339)". The record is from RNAcentral. Lineage: Eukaryota; Viridiplantae; Streptophyta; Magnoliopsida; Arecales; Arecaceae.
CCAAAAUGAGGGCUGAAUAUUCUGUACCAAAGUUGAAAGCAUAAUGAGAAUGCUGUUGGCAGAUGAAACUUUAUAAGCAAUUAGAACCAUAAAAUUUGAAGUCAUCUGUUAUUAAUAUCAGAAAGAAACAUGAAUUUAAAUAUACCAAAUUGUAUGCAAUCCUGAAACAUGUGAAGCAGCAUUUUUGGUACCAUCCCGAAUCGGCCGGUUCGAGGUGUGCCGAACCGUACUGGCCGAGAACCGAGACGGUUCCAGCGUGGAAAACGGCAUAUGCCGGUGCCGGGGAAGAAAAGAAAGAAAAAGAGGAAAAGA